GAUGAACGCUGGCGGCGUGCUUAACACAUGCAAGUCGAACGGGAAACCUUUUAAUGAAGCUUCGGCAGAUUUAGCUGGUUUCUAGUGGCGGACGGGUGAGUAACGCGUUGGUAACCUGCCUUAUACAGGGGGAUAACAGUCAGAAAUGACUGCUAAUACCGCAUAAGCGCACAGGACCGCAUGGUCCGGUGUUAAAAACUCCGGUGGUAUAAGAUGGACCCGCGUUGGAUUAGCUUGUUGUUGGGGUAACGGCUCACCAAGGCGACGAUCCAUAGCCGGCAUGAGAGGGUGAACGGACACAUUGGGACUGAGAAACGGCCCAGAAUCCUACGGGAGGCAGCAGUGGGGAAUAUUGCACAAUGGGGGAAACCAUGAUGCAGCGACGCCGCGUGAAGGAAGAAGUAUCUCGGUAUGUAAACUUCUAUCAGCAGGGAAGAUAGUGACGGUACCUGACUAAGAAGCCACGGCUAACUACGUG
Molecule: ribosomal RNA, 478 nt
Filed under: uncultured bacterium
Lineage: Bacteria
Description: partial 16S ribosomal RNA
Rfam family: Bacterial small subunit ribosomal RNA
Source: RNAcentral